Molecule: small RNA, 91 nt
Filed under: Mesonia algae
Lineage: Bacteria; Pseudomonadati; Bacteroidota; Flavobacteriia; Flavobacteriales; Flavobacteriaceae
Description: Flavo-1 RNA
Source: RNAcentral
UUUUUGCGUUAAGGAUAGAAGAGAAAUCCCGCAGUAAGUAGAAGCGAUAGCGUCAACUUACGAGGAAUUGAAACGUAUAGCCUGACCCUUU